Molecule: long non-coding RNA, 405 nt
Organism: Ctenocephalides felis (cat flea)
Lineage: Eukaryota; Metazoa; Arthropoda; Insecta; Siphonaptera; Pulicidae
Exons: 3
Source: RefSeq, a predicted model, not a curated record
CUCAAGUUAUACGUUGUGCAGUGGAUAAUAUCAGAUAUCCAAAACAACACUCCCGAGUGCAAAUAAAAGGGUUUGAAACUUCCUAACCUAGAAUCAAGCGGGCGGCUUCUCGCCGACAUUGGUUGAUAUUCAAUUGUAUUUAGGAUUGAAAUUGGUGGCUAAAAUUUGCCUUAAUUGAGCAGCAUAACUGCAUGUCAAGUUUAUUGUUAAAUUUUGGACAGCGCAUAUUCAGUGAAAUACAUCUUAAGUGAAACAACCAUCAUUUAAGAAUUAUAAAGAGGCGAAAAUUGAUUGAUUUUACUGCACGAAAAUCAAAGGAUUAAUUGUUAUAGAUGGAGGCCAAUACUAAUACCAAUGAAACUCAAGUUUCAUAUUAUUUAAAUCAAAUGGUGAAUAUGUCGGAAG